Molecule: ribosomal RNA, 253 nt
Filed under: uncultured bacterium
Lineage: Bacteria
Description: partial 16S ribosomal RNA
Rfam family: Bacterial small subunit ribosomal RNA
Source: RNAcentral
UACGAAGGGGACUAGCGUUGUUCGGAUAUACUGGGCGUAAAGCGCACGUAGGCGGCGCCGUAAGUCAGGGGUGAAAUCCCGGAGCUCAACUCCGGAACUGCCCUUGAAACUGCAGUGCUAGAAUCUUGGAGAGGCGAGUGGAAUUCCGAGUGUAGAGGUGAAAUUCGUAGAUAUUCGGAAGAACACCAGUGGCGAAGGCGACUCGCUGGACAAGUAUUGACGCUGAGGUGCGAAAGCGUGGGGAGCAAACAGG